AUUGAACGCUGGCGGCAUGCUUUACACAUGCAAGUCGAACGGCAGCGCGGGGCAACCCUGGCGGCGAGUGGCGAACGGGUGAGUAAUGCAUCGGAACGUAUCCUGUAAUGGGGGGAUAACGUAGCGAAAGUUACGCUAAUACCGCAUACGCUCGAGAGAGGAAAGUGGGGGAUCGCAAGACCUCACGUUAUAGGAGCGGCCGAUGUCCGAUUAGCUAGUUGGUGGGGUAAAGGCCUACCAAGGCGACGAUCGGUAGCUGGUCUGAGAGGAUGAUCAGCCACACUGGGACUGAGACACGGCCCAGACUCCUACGGGAGGCAGCAGUGGGAAUUUGGACAAUGGGCAAGCCUGAUCCAGCCAUGCCGCGUG
RNAcentral lists this ribosomal RNA (369 nucleotides) under uncultured bacterium. RNAcentral describes it as "bacterial SSU rRNA". It matches the Rfam family "Bacterial small subunit ribosomal RNA", at positions 30 to 403 of the family's 1533-position model. The record is from RNAcentral.